AGUGAACGCUGGCGGUAGGCCUAACACAUGCCAGUCGAACGGCAGCACAGUAAGAGCUUGCUCUUACGGGUGGCGAGUGGCGGACGGGUGAGGAAUACAUCGGAAUCUACUUUUUCGUGGGGGAUAACGUAGGGAAACUUACGCUAAUACCGCAUACGACCUACGGGUGAAAGCAGGGGAUCUUCGGACCUUGCGCGAUUGAAUGAGCCGAUGUCGGAUUAGCUAGUUGGCGGGGUAAAGGCCCACCAAGGCGACGAUCCGUAGCUGGUCUGAGAGGAUGAUCAGCCACACUGGAACUGAGACACGGUCCAGACUCCUACGGGAGGCAGCAGCGGGGAAUAUUGGACAAUGGGCGCAAGCCUGAUCCAGCCAUACCGCGUGGGUGAAGAAGGCCUUCGGGUUGUAAAGCCCUUUUGUUGGGAAAGAAAGGCAGCAGGUUAAUACCCCGCUGUUCUGACGGUACCCAAAGAAUAAGCACCGGCUAACUUCGUG
RNAcentral lists this ribosomal RNA (492 nucleotides) under uncultured bacterium. RNAcentral's name for it is "partial 16S ribosomal RNA". It matches the Rfam family "Bacterial small subunit ribosomal RNA", at positions 29 to 507 of the family's 1533-position model. The record is from RNAcentral.